This 633-nucleotide ribosomal RNA is filed under the name Aspergillus niger. RNAcentral's name for it is "eukaryotic LSU rRNA". It matches the Rfam family "Eukaryotic large subunit ribosomal RNA", at positions 1 to 649 of the family's 3401-position model. The record is from RNAcentral. Lineage: Eukaryota; Fungi; Ascomycota; Eurotiomycetes; Eurotiales; Aspergillaceae.
UGACCUCGGAUCAGGUAGGGAUACCCGCUGAACUUAAGCAUAUCAAUAAGCGGAGGAAAAGAAACCAACCGGGAUUGCCUCAGUAACGGCGAGUGAAGCGGCAAGAGCUCAAAUUUGAAAGCUGGCUCCUUCGGAGUCCGCAUUGUAAUUUGCAGAGGAUGCUUUGGGUGCGGCCCCCGUCUAAGUGCCCUGGAACGGGCCGUCAGAGAGGGUGAGAAUCCCGUCUUGGGCGGGGUGUCCGUGCCCGUGUAAAGCUCCUUCGACGAGUCGAGUUGUUUGGGAAUGCAGCUCUAAAUGGGUGGUAAAUUUCAUCUAAAGCUAAAUACUGGCCGGAGACCGAUAGCGCACAAGUAGAGUGAUCGAAAGAUGAAAAGCACUUUGAAAAGAGAGUUAAACAGCACGUGAAAUUGUUGAAAGGGAAGCGCUUGCGACCAGACUCGCCCGCGGGGUUCAGCCGGCAUUCGUGCCGGUGUACUUCCCCGUGGGCGGGCCAGCGUCGGUUUGGGCGGCCGGUCAAAGGCCCCUGGAAUGUAGUGCCCUCCGGGGCACCUUAUAGCCAGGGGUGCAAUGCGGCCAGCCUGGACCGAGGAACGCGCUUCGGCACGGACGCUGGCAUAAUGGUCGUAAACGACC